This 73-nucleotide transfer RNA is filed under the name Pseudomonadota bacterium. RNAcentral describes it as "Proteobacteria bacterium tRNA-Lys". It matches the Rfam family "tRNA". Rfam says of the family: Transfer RNA (tRNA) molecules are approximately 80 nucleotides in length. Their secondary structure includes four short double-helical elements and three loops (D, anti-codon, and T loops). Lineage: Bacteria; Pseudomonadati; Pseudomonadota. The record is from RNAcentral. RNAcentral also lists the same sequence under 1 other name.
GCACCGUUAGCUCAAUUGGCAGAGCAAGUGACUCUUAAUCACUAGGUUGAUGGUUCGAUUCCAUCACGGUGCA